This 433-nucleotide ribosomal RNA is filed under the name uncultured bacterium. RNAcentral's name for it is "partial 16S ribosomal RNA". It matches the Rfam family "Bacterial small subunit ribosomal RNA", at positions 29 to 507 of the family's 1533-position model. The record is from RNAcentral.
AACGAACGCUGGCGGCAUGCCUAACACAUGCAAGUCGAACGAGACCUUCGGGUCUAGUGGCGCACGGGUGCGUAACGCGUGGGAACCUGCCUUUAGGUUCGGAAUAACUCAGAGAAAUUUGAGCUAAUACCGGAUGAUGUCUUCGGACCAAAGAUUUAUCGCCUUUAGAUGGGCCCGCGUUGGACUAGCUAGUUGGUGGGGUAAAGGCCUACCAAGGCGACGAUCCAUAGCUGGUCUGAGAGGAUGAUCAGCCACACUGGGACUGAGACACGGCCCAGACUCCUACGGGAGGCAGCAGUGGGGAAUAUUGGACAAUGGGCGAAAGCCUGAUCCAGCAAUGCCGCGUGAGUGAUGAAGGCCUUAGGGUUGUAAAGCUCUUUUACCCGAGAUGAUAAUGACAGUAUCGGGAGAAUAAGCUCCGGCUAACUCCGUG